Molecule: unclassified non-coding RNA, 501 nt
Filed under: Hevea brasiliensis (rubber tree)
Lineage: Eukaryota; Viridiplantae; Streptophyta; Magnoliopsida; Malpighiales; Euphorbiaceae
Source: RNAcentral
GAGAUCUUCAAGCCCUGCUGAAACUGUUAAUUAACCCCACAAAUCUGUCUCAGUUCAGUAAUUAUACAUAAAAAUAAGAUAAAAACAUAAUGUGAUACGAAAGUAUAAAGCAUGGGCAUCUAGACUUGUUCCCCAGUACAGUGUGGCAAAUUACUGUCAUGAUUUAGUUGAAAUCUGAAAAAAUAGUUGAAAUUCUUGUGCAAAUUUAAUAGUAAAUAAUUUUUCUAAAAAAAAAAAUAAAAUUUAGCAAUUAGACCCAUAUAAAUUGAAGUUUAGUAGUAAUCAUUACGAAAAUAAUUAUGAUUUAAGGAUUUAUAAUGCAUGAUAUUAAGGGUUCAAAGAUUAAUUAUUCUUAUUUCCUUUAAAUGUUUCCAAAAUAUAUAAAAAAAAAUGAAAUAAAAGCUUAAUUUACUUAAUUACUCAUUAAAAAUGAAAUUCAACUACAAUCUUGGCUAAAACGCGGAAAGGAGUACAUACCCACAUAAGGGAAGAAGACGAUAU